UAAGUCGAGCGAUUCUUAGCAAUAGCGAAGAGCGGCGGAAGGGUGAGUAACACGUAGGAGACCUACCUCAUCGCAGGGAACAACUUCGCGAAAGCGGAGCUAAUACCCAAAAAGCUCGUGCCUUCGGUGGGACGAGAAGAGUACGCAAGUGCGUGAUGAGAGGGUCCUGCGGCCCAUCAGCUAGUUGGUAGGGUAGUGGCCUACCAAGGCAACGACGGGUAGGGGGUCUGAGAGGACGAUCCCCCACACUGGAACUGAAACACGGUCCAGACGCCUACGGGUGGCAGCAGGGAGGAAUAUUGGGCAAUGGACGAAAGUCUGACCCAGCAACGCCGCGUGAAGGAUGAAGGCCUUCGGGUUGUAAACUUCUUUUGAGGGAGACGAGAAAGGACGGUAUCCCUCGAAUAAGCCACGGCUAACUACGUGCCAGCAGCCGCGGU
RNAcentral lists this ribosomal RNA (440 nucleotides) under uncultured bacterium. Its description in RNAcentral is "bacterial SSU rRNA". It matches the Rfam family "Bacterial small subunit ribosomal RNA", at positions 58 to 521 of the family's 1533-position model. The record is from RNAcentral.